AAUGAACGUUGGCGGCGUGGAUUAGGCAUGCAAGUCGAGCGAGAACCCCGCAAGGGGGGACAGCGGCGAAAGGGACAGUAAUGUGUAGAUUAUCUGCCCUCAGGUCCGGGAUAGCUGCGGGAAACUGCAGGUAAUACCGGAUAACAUCUCCGGAUCAAAGGUGUGAUUCCGCCUGAGGAUGAGUCUGCAUCCUAUUAGCUAGUUGGUGGGGUAAUGGCCUACCAAGGCAUUGAUGGGUAGCAGGUGUGAGAGCACGACCUGCGUCAUUGGGACUGAGACACGGCCCAGACACCGACGGGUGGCUGCAGGCGAGAAUCUUCGGCAAUGGGCGCAAGCCUGACCGAGCGACGCCGCGUGUGGGAUGAAGGCCUUCGGGUUGUAAACCACUGUCAGAGGGGAUGAAAUGCAGGUGGGUUCUCCCAUCUGUUUGACAUAGCCUCAGAGGAAGGACGGGCUAAGUUCGUG
Molecule: ribosomal RNA, 465 nt
Filed under: uncultured bacterium
Lineage: Bacteria
Description: partial 16S ribosomal RNA
Rfam family: Bacterial small subunit ribosomal RNA
Source: RNAcentral